UUACAAGUUUUUUAAAAGAGUUUUUAAAAAAUUUACAAGGAUUUUUAAAAGCAUUUUUUUUGGCUGGGAAAAAAAUUUAACGAGAAAAAAUUUUGGCGGGUUUUUUUUUUUUUGGCGGGAAAAAAAGUUUGGCGGAAUUUUUUUUUUGGCGGGAGAAAUAAAUUUUGGGGCCAAAAAUUUAGCGGAAAACUUUCAGUUUCCAAUUACAUGUUCUUAUUAGAUGAGGGUAAUUUGGUCAUUCUGUUCAAGGGAAGAGAUAUUUUUAAAAAUGAACAAUAUAAAAGGGUAUUGUUGCAAAAGGGUAGUAAAAAAAGGGUAGUUUUGCAAAUCUCCCUAUUUUCUAAUGAAAAGAAGAAGUUAAUA
Molecule: small RNA, 363 nt
Filed under: Arabidopsis thaliana (thale cress)
Lineage: Eukaryota; Viridiplantae; Streptophyta; Magnoliopsida; Brassicales; Brassicaceae
Description: ATSL157170
Source: RNAcentral